Molecule: ribosomal RNA, 2812 nt
Filed under: Klebsiella variicola
Lineage: Bacteria; Pseudomonadati; Pseudomonadota; Gammaproteobacteria; Enterobacterales; Enterobacteriaceae
Description: bacterial LSU rRNA
Rfam family: Bacterial large subunit ribosomal RNA
Source: RNAcentral
CCGGCGAUGUCCGAAUGGGGAAACCCAGUGCAAUUCGUUGCACUAUCGUUAACUGAAUACAUAGGUUAACGAGGCGAACCGGGGGAACUGAAACAUCUAAGUACCCCGAGGAAAAGAAAUCAACCGAGAUUCCCCCAGUAGCGGCGAGCGAACGGGGAGCAGCCCAGAGUCUGAAUCAGCUUGUGUGUUAGUGGAACGGUCUGGAAAGUCCGACGGUACAGGGUGAUAGUCCCGUACACCAAAAUGCACAGGCUGUGAACUCGAAGAGUAGGGCGGGACACGUGGUAUCCUGUCUGAAUAUGGGGGGACCAUCCUCCAAGGCUAAAUACUCCUGACUGACCGAUAGUGAACCAGUACCGUGAGGGAAAGGCGAAAAGAACCCCGGCGAGGGGAGUGAAAAAGAACCUGAAACCGUGUACGUACAAGCAGUGGGAGCACCUUCGGGUGUGACUGCGUACCUUUUGUAUAAUGGGUCAGCGACUUAUAUUCUGUAGCAAGGUUAACCGAAUAGGGGAGCCGCAGGGAAACCGAGUCUUAACUGGGCGUUAAGUUGCAGGGUAUAGACCCGAAACCCGGUGAUCUAGCCAUGGGCAGGUUGAAGGUUGGGUAACACUAACUGGAGGACCGAACCGACUAAUGUUGAAAAAUUAGCGGAUGACUUGUGGCUGGGGGUGAAAGGCCAAUCAAACCGGGAGAUAGCUGGUUCUCCCCGAAAGCUAUUUAGGUAGCGCCUCGUGAAUUCAUCUUCGGGGGUAGAGCACUGUUUCGGCUAGGGGGUCAUCCCGACUUACCAACCCGAUGCAAACUACGAAUACCGAAGAAUGUUAUCACGGGAGACACACGGCGGGUGCUAACGUCCGUCGUGAAGAGGGAAACAACCCAGACCGCCAGCUAAGGUCCCAAAGUCAUGGUUAAGUGGGAAACGAUGUGGGAAGGCACAGACAGCCAGGAUGUUGGCUUAGAAGCAGCCAUCAUUUAAAGAAAGCGUAAUAGCUCACUGGUCGAGUCGGCCUGCGCGGAAGAUGUAACGGGGCUAAACCAUGCACCGAAGCUGCGGCAGCGACACUAUGUGUUGUUGGGUAGGGGAGCGUUCUGUAAGCCUGCGAAGGUGGCCUGUGAGGGUUGCUGGAGGUAUCAGAAGUGCGAAUGCUGACAUAAGUAACGAUAAAGCGGGUGAAAAGCCCGCUCGCCGGAAGACCAAGGGUUCCUGUCCAACGUUAAUCGGGGCAGGGUGAGUCGACCCCUAAGGCGAGGCCGAAAGGCGUAGUCGAUGGGAAACAGGUUAAUAUUCCUGUACUUGGUGUUACUGCGAAGGGGGGACGGAGAAGGCUAUGUUAGCCGGGCGACGGUUGUCCCGGUUUAAGCAUGUAGGCGGAGGUUCCAGGUAAAUCCGGUACCUUUUAACGCUGAGGUGUGAUGACGAGGCACUACGGUGCUGAAGUAACAAAUGCCCUGCUUCCAGGAAAAGCCUCUAAGCAUCAGGUAACAUUGAAUCGUACCCCAAACCGACACAGGUGGUCAGGUAGAGAAUACCAAGGCGCUUGAGAGAACUCGGGUGAAGGAACUAGGCAAAAUGGUGCCGUAACUUCGGGAGAAGGCACGCUGAUAUGUAGGUGAAGCCCCUGCGGGUGGAGCUGAAAUCAGUCGAAGAUACCAGCUGGCUGCAACUGUUUAUUAAAAACACAGCACUGUGCAAACACGAAAGUGGACGUAUACGGUGUGACGCCUGCCCGGUGCCGGAAGGUUAAUUGAUGGGGUUAUCCGUAAGGAGAAGCUCUUGAUCGAAGCCCCGGUAAACGGCGGCCGUAACUAUAACGGUCCUAAGGUAGCGAAAUUCCUUGUCGGGUAAGUUCCGACCUGCACGAAUGGCGUAAUGAUGGCCAGGCUGUCUCCACCCGAGACUCAGUGAAAUUGAACUCGCUGUGAAGAUGCAGUGUACCCGCGGCAAGACGGAAAGACCCCGUGAACCUUUACUAUAGCUUGACACUGAACAUUGAGCCUUGAUGUGUAGGAUAGGUGGGAGGCUUUGAAGCGUGGACGCCAGUCUGCGUGGAGCCAACCUUGAAAUACCACCCUUUAAUGUUUGAUGUUCUAACGUUGGCCCCUAAUCGGGGUUGCGGACAGUGUCUGGUGGGUAGUUUGACUGGGGCGGUCUCCUCCCAAAGAGUAACGGAGGAGCACGAAGGUUAGCUAAUCCUGGUCGGACAUCAGGAGGUUAGUGCAAUGGCAUAAGCUAGCUUGACUGCGAGCGUGACGGCGCGAGCAGGUGCGAAAGCAGGUCAUAGUGAUCCGGUGGUUCUGAAUGGAAGGGCCAUCGCUCAACGGAUAAAAGGUACUCCGGGGAUAACAGGCUGAUACCGCCCAAGAGUUCAUAUCGACGGCGGUGUUUGGCACCUCGAUGUCGGCUCAUCACAUCCUGGGGCUGAAGUAGGUCCCAAGGGUAUGGCUGUUCGCCAUUUAAAGUGGUACGCGAGCUGGGUUUAGAACGUCGUGAGACAGUUCGGUCCCUAUCUGCCGUGGGCGCUGGAGAAUUGAGGGGGGCUGCUCCUAGUACGAGAGGACCGGAGUGGACGCAUCACUGGUGUUCGGGUUGUCAUGCCAAUGGCACUGCCCGGUAGCUAAAUGCGGAAGAGAUAAGUGCUGAAAGCAUCUAAGCACGAAACUUGCCCCGAGAUGAGUUCUCCCUGAGACUUUAAGUCUCCUGAAGGAACGUUGAAGACGACGACGUUGAUAGGCCGGGUGUGUAAGCGCAGCGAUGCGUUGAGCUAACCGGUACUAAUGAACCGUGAGGCUUAACCUUACAACGCCGAAG